GACGGAGGAGGCAAGCGUUAUCCGGAAUUAUUGGGCGUAAAGGGUACGUAGGCGGCUAGUCAAGUCUGGGGUUAAAGGCCACAGCUCAACUGUGGGAAGGCCCUGGAAACUGACCGGCUAGAGUGAGGUAGGGGUUGCGGGAAUUCCCGGUGUAGCGGUGAAAUGCGUAGAGAUCGGGAAGAACACCUGAGGCGGAAGCGCGCAACUGGGCCUCAACUGACGCUGAGUUACGAAAGCUAGGGGAGCGAAUGGG
Molecule: ribosomal RNA, 253 nt
Filed under: uncultured bacterium
Lineage: Bacteria
Description: partial 16S ribosomal RNA
Rfam family: Bacterial small subunit ribosomal RNA
Source: RNAcentral